This 69-nucleotide transfer RNA is filed under the name Ictidomys tridecemlineatus (thirteen-lined ground squirrel). RNAcentral describes it as "Spermophilus tridecemlineatus (thirteen-lined ground squirrel) tRNA". It matches the Rfam family "tRNA". From Rfam's summary of the family: Transfer RNA (tRNA) molecules are approximately 80 nucleotides in length. Their secondary structure includes four short double-helical elements and three loops (D, anti-codon, and T loops). The record is from Rfam by way of RNAcentral. Lineage: Eukaryota; Metazoa; Chordata; Mammalia; Rodentia; Sciuridae.
GGGGUUGUGGCUUAGCGGUAGAGCACUCACCUCGUACAUGCGAGAUCCUGGGUUCGAUUCUCAGCCCCA